This 66-nucleotide transfer RNA is filed under the name Charinus ferreus. RNAcentral describes it as "tRNA-Ser". The record is from RNAcentral. Lineage: Eukaryota; Metazoa; Arthropoda; Arachnida; Amblypygi; Charinidae.
AACCACUUAGCUUAAAACCAAAGCAAAUAUUUUGAAAAUAUCCCAUAGACGUUAGUCUAGUGGUUU